AGGGAAGCGCAGCGGGGCUGGGGAAGGGUCUGGAGCACAAGUCCUAUCAGGAGCGGCUGGGGUGUUUAGCAGGCUGAGGGGGACCCUACUGCUCUCUACAGCUGCCUGAAAGGAAGGAGUAGCAAGAUGGCGUUCGGCCUCCUCUCACAGGCAACAGGCGCCAGUACAAAAGGAGAUAGCCUCAAGCUGUGAUAUGGAAGGUUUAGGUUGGACAUCAGGAAAAAUUUCUUCACGGGAAGGGUGGUUAAAUAUUGGAACAGGCUGCCCAGUCAGGUAUUGGUGUCACACACCCUGGAGGUGUUUAAAGAAAGACUGGAUAUGGCACUCAGUGCCAUGGUCUAUCAGACAAAAUCCACUACACAGUAGACUGUGUUCGGUCAUAGGUUGUGUUGUAAAUUACUCAACACAAACGGGCAGGUCAAUCAAUAAGGCAAUUUAUUAGUUUGUUGAUAAGGAACAGACAAGCAGUGCUGAGGGCGUGGGGAAUCUGUGCUCCACCAACACGUCCAUCUCACCUUUGGUCACUGCUCCUUUCACAGGCAGUUUCUUGGUGGGCUGUGAUGUGCCUCUGUGCUGGGGUACAAGUCAGAGCAAGCCCAAACAUGGUAGCCAGCCCUCAAGCAGCAGUGGUCACAAGCCCCCAGGUCUGGACAAGGCUCAAACAUGUUGUCAGGUUACACUCCGAGCAAGCAGGUAACAGCAGGGACAAAUCUGCUCCUGCUCGCACAAGCCUGCAUUUCCUUAUACAUAAAAAGUGGAUACAACCCAUGAUUAUAGUGGCAAAGUAAAAAAAAAUGCAUAAACCCAAAAAGAACAGCAAAGUGAUUUUAACAAAUGUAAUGAAAUCAUCAUAUUUUCCUGUGUUUCAUGUCCAUGCUUUACUUUGAAUUCAAGAUCUUUUCCAACCUAAGUGAUUCUGUGAUUCCUCCCCUCCCUUGCUACCUCCCUCUCUGCAUGGACUGAGCCCUCCUAGCAGAAAAAACCACAGUUACACCCCCAUGGCACGUCUGUCAUUGCAGUGUUUAUUGAACUAAUGGACGGAUUACAAUUUCACAUCUGAGCAGUAAAUCAUCUGCCAAGCACCUGCCACCUCCGUGCAGGGUGGGACGGAAUGGGCAGGAACAGGGAGUGGCCAAGGAGCAAGGUACACCACAGGAUCUGCACACACCUGGCUGUGCGCACAGGCAUAUGCCAAUACAGAGAUUAGAGAAGGAGUAAUAAAUCCUAUCUUAACAUGGGGCAAAGUUUACACUGUUAAUUGCAGUCAGGGCAAGCAAAAGAUUAAAAAAAAGGUAGCAAAAUGACGGGGGAAAAAAGGCACAUUGUUACUACAUCACCAGAAAACAAGCAUUUGAUUUAACAGUUCCAAAUUAGUGCAUGACAAAUCACCAUAUGAAAAUCAAAACUGCAGUUCAAAAGAUAAGGCAGCAAUACAAGA
Long non-coding RNA from Oenanthe melanoleuca, 1438 nucleotides. RefSeq lists it as uncharacterized. NCBI's taxonomy places the organism in Eukaryota, Metazoa, Chordata, Aves, Passeriformes, Muscicapidae. The record is from RefSeq and is a predicted model, not a curated record. The transcript is spliced from 2 exons.